GCUACACAGAUGCUGUUUCCUUUGCCCAGCACACCUGUCACUCACCUCAACCCUUUCUCUCUUUUCCCCAUCUUUCUGUGGCUAGCUCCUCCUCAUUCUUUAGGUCUCAGUGUAGAUAGCACCACUAUCAGGAAGGAGUCCAGACACUGCCAGGCCUAAGAAAUGUAAAUUAAAUGCUCUCAAGGGAUGAGAGACACUGGAAGCUGGGACGCUCUUGGAACUCUGUUGCCAUCAUCAAGGCUUCCAGAUACAGCCCUCUAGGUCAUCCAGAGGUGCCAGCCAGCCCUCACCAGUGGUCAGCUUUUCCUCAGUGGAGUGGUAGGUGAGCCAGUGGAGCUUGCUCUGAAGAUACUAGAGGGAGCCAAAGCUGUCUGGCCCUUCAGUGUGACUCAGUUUCCAGACUCUUUCUCUUUAGACAUAAAUGAAGAACAAGUCAACCUUGAUGCCUUUGAGGGUUGGUUCAGCGGAUGAUGUGUUGUGGGGUUUUCCCACAGGUCAGCAGUCCAACUACCAGGGCCAGAGCCCCAUCAAAGAAUCUUCAGUGCCAGCCAGAAAGAAUGAUGAACUCCUCGUGUAAAGGGAGUUUGGGGCAACCAGUCAAACCAUGGCCUCAUGGGAAGCAGCUGACUAGGCAAUGAGAGAGGAAUACAAAAGACAAGGCACUGCGAAGCCAAGUCUGGUUGGGGAGAAGAAACCAAUAUGCCUGAAACAGGGAACCAGAAAGGACUCAGACAAAACUGCUGACAAGUAUGGGGUUUCUUGGGGUAGGUGGUGAAAAUAUUCCAAAAUAAGAUUAUAGCGAUGUUUUAAUAAUCCCCUGGAUAUAAUAAAAAAACAUCGAAUUGUACACUUCAAA
Molecule: long non-coding RNA, 856 nt
Filed under: Homo sapiens (human)
Lineage: Eukaryota; Metazoa; Chordata; Mammalia; Primates; Hominidae
Description: long intergenic non-protein coding RNA 1704
Source: RNAcentral